RNAcentral lists this ribosomal RNA (303 nucleotides) under Listeria monocytogenes. RNAcentral describes it as "partial 23S ribosomal RNA". It matches the Rfam family "Bacterial large subunit ribosomal RNA", at positions 69 to 365 of the family's 2925-position model. Lineage: Bacteria; Bacillati; Bacillota; Bacilli; Caryophanales; Listeriaceae. The record is from RNAcentral.
CGAUAUGCUUUGGGGAGCUGUACGUAAGCGUUGAUCCAGAGAUUUCCGAAUGGGGGAACCCACUAUCUUUAGUCGGAUAGUAUCCUUACGUGAAUACAUAGCGUAAGGAAGGCAGACCCAGGGAACUGAAACAUCUAAGUACCUGGAGGAAGAGAAAGAAAAAUCGAUUUCCUGAGUAGCGGCGAGCGAAACGGAAAGAGCCCAAACCAAGAAGCUUGCUUCUUGGGGUUGUAGGACACUCUAUACGGAGUUACAAAAGAAAGUUAUAAAUGAAGCGGUCUGGAAAGGCCCGCCAAAGACGGU